GGGUGUAUAUGCUCGGUGGUGGGGCGCAUGCUUAGCAUGCAUGAGGUCCUGGGUUCAAUCCCCAGUACCUCCA
Molecule: transfer RNA, 73 nt
Filed under: Camelus bactrianus (Bactrian camel)
Lineage: Eukaryota; Metazoa; Chordata; Mammalia; Artiodactyla; Camelidae
Also listed under: 2 other names
Rfam family: tRNA
About the family: Transfer RNA (tRNA) molecules are approximately 80 nucleotides in length.
Source: Rfam by way of RNAcentral